Molecule: ribosomal RNA, 230 nt
Filed under: uncultured bacterium
Lineage: Bacteria
Description: partial 16S ribosomal RNA
Rfam family: Bacterial small subunit ribosomal RNA
Source: RNAcentral
UACCCUACGGGAGGCAGCAGUAGGGAAUCUUCCACAAUGGGCGAAAGCCUGAUGGAGCAACGCCGCGUGGGUGAAGAAGGUCUUCGGAUCGUAAAACCCUGUUGUUAGAGAAGAAAGUGCGUGAGAGUAACUGUUCACAUUUCGACGGUAUCUAACCAGAAAGCCACGGCUAACUACGUGCCAGCAGCCGCGGUAAUACGUAGGUGGCAAGCGUUAUCCGGUUUAUUUGG